AUCCAGUUGACAAGUCCCAAAUAGGACGAAACGCUCGUCCUGGAU
Molecule: non-coding RNA, 45 nt
Filed under: Schistosoma mattheei
Lineage: Eukaryota; Metazoa; Platyhelminthes; Trematoda; Strigeidida; Schistosomatidae
Source: RNAcentral